UGUUGAAGAUAUCCUGAAAUAGCCUUUACACUCAUCACUCCUUUACAAUUACAGCUAUUCCCAGCAGCCCAUUUUUUUCCUCAUAUCACAUUUAAGUCACGUGUAUUGGAUGAUGGAGUAACUGAUAGUUUGGGAUUCUGUCAGUGUGUGCUUCUGAGAGUGAAUGAUUCACAAUUGACAAGUAUCUAACAGACCCAUUUAUUCAGGAGAUUGACUAGUGGCAGUCAUGGGUAUGGUGGUACAUGAUUUCAACUUUCUUAUUUGAGACC
This 269-nucleotide small nucleolar RNA is filed under the name Carlito syrichta (Philippine tarsier). RNAcentral describes it as "Small Cajal body specific RNA 6 (ENSTSYG00000024195.2)". The record is from RNAcentral. Lineage: Eukaryota; Metazoa; Chordata; Mammalia; Primates; Tarsiidae.